Molecule: ribosomal RNA, 506 nt
Filed under: uncultured bacterium
Lineage: Bacteria
Description: partial 16S ribosomal RNA
Rfam family: Bacterial small subunit ribosomal RNA
Source: RNAcentral
AUUGAACGCUGGCGGCAGGCCUAACACAUGCAAGUCGGACGGUAGCACAGAGGAGCUUGCUCCUUGGGUGACGGGUGGCGGACGGGUGAGUAAUGUCUGGGGAUCUGCCCGAUAGAGGGGGAUAACCACUGGAAACGGUGGCUAAUACCGCAUAACGUCGCAAGACCAAAGAGGGGGACCUUCGGGCCUCUCACUAUCGGAUGAACCCAGAUGGGAUUAGCUAGUAGGCGGGGUAAUGGCCCACCUAGGCGACGAUCCCUAGCUGGUCUGAGAGGAUGACCAGCCACACUGGAACUGAGACACGGUCCAGACUCCUACGGGAGGCAGCAGUGGGGAAUAUUGCACAAUGGGCGCAAGCCUGAUGCAGCCAUGCCGCGUGUAUGAAGAAGGCCUUCGGGUUGUAAAGUACUUUCAGCGGGGAGGAAGGCGGUGAGGUUAAUAACCUCGCCGAUUGACGUUACCCGCAGAAGAAGCACCGGCUAACUCCGUGCCAGCCGCCGCGGUAA